AAAUUGAAGAGUUUGAUCAUGGCUCAGAUUGAACGCUGGCGGCAGGCCUAACACAUGCAAGUCGAACGGUAACAGGAAGCAGCUUGCUGCUUUGCUGACGAGUGGCGGACGGGUGAGUAAUGUCUGGGAAACUGCCCGAUGGAGGGGGAUAACUACUGGAAACGGUGGCUAAUACCGCAUAACGUCGCAAGACCAAAGAGGGGGACCUUCGGGCCUCUUGCCAUCAGAUGUGCCCAGAUGGGAUUAGCUUGUUGGUGAGGUAACGG
Molecule: ribosomal RNA, 266 nt
Filed under: Salmonella enterica
Lineage: Bacteria; Pseudomonadati; Pseudomonadota; Gammaproteobacteria; Enterobacterales; Enterobacteriaceae
Description: partial 16S ribosomal RNA
Rfam family: Bacterial small subunit ribosomal RNA
Source: RNAcentral